This 786-nucleotide ribosomal RNA is filed under the name uncultured archaeon. Its description in RNAcentral is "bacterial SSU rRNA". It matches the Rfam family "Archaeal small subunit ribosomal RNA", at positions 84 to 872 of the family's 1478-position model. The record is from RNAcentral.
UACGGCUCAGUAACACGUGGGUAACCUGCCCUAUGCUGGGGGAUAACCUCGGGAAACUGAGAAUAAUACCCCAUAGUUCACCACGCCUGGAACGGUGGGUGGACCAAAGCUCCGGCGGCAUAGGAUGGGCCUGCGGCGUAUCAGGUUGUAGGGGGUGUAAUGUACCCUCUAGCCCUCUACGCGUACGGGUGUUGAGAGACAUCGCCCGGAGAUGGAUUCUGAGACACGAAUCCAGACCCUACGGGGUGCAGCAGGCGCGAAAACUUGGCAAUGCGAGAAAUCGUGACCAGGGAACUCCAAGUGCAUCGGGUAAGACCGAUGCUUUUCUUGACUCUUCAAAGGUCUUGGAAUAAGGGGUGGGUAAGGACGGUGCCAGCCGCCGCGGUAAUACCGGCGCCCCAAGUGGUAGUCGCUUUUAUUGGGCCUAAAACGUCCGUAGCCGGUCUGGUACAUUCGUGGGUAAAUCAACCAGCUCAACUGGUUGAAUUCUGCGAGCACGGCCAGACUUGGGACCGGGAGAGGUGUGGGGUACUCUCAGGGUAGGGGUAAAAUCCUGUCAUCCUGAGAGGACCACCUGUUGCGAAGGCGCCACACUAGAACGGAUCCGACGGUCAGGGACGAAGCCUAGGGGCACGAACCGGAUUAGAUACCCGGGUAGUCCUAGGUGUAAACGCUGUGGACUUGAUGUUGGGGGCGCUCCGAGCGCACUCAGUGUCGAAGCGAAGGUGAUAAGUCCACUGCCUGGGGAGUACGGUCGCAAGGCUGAAACUUAAAGGAAUUGGCGGA